GUGCCAGAGCCGUGGUAAUACGUAAGUGGCAAGCGUUAUCCGGAAUUACUGGGCAUAAAGAGUUCGUAGGCGGUUAAUCAAGCCAAUAGUGAAAUCCACCAGCCUAACUGGUGUAAGCUAAUGGAACUGAUUAACUUGAGUACAGGAGAGGAAAGUGGAAUUCCUAAUGUAGUAGUGAAAUGCGUAGAUAUUAGGAAGAACAUCAGUAGCGAAGGCGACUUUCUGGACUGUAACUGACGCUGAGGAACGAAAGCGUGGGGAGCGAACAGGAUUAGAUACCCUGGUAGUCC
This 290-nucleotide ribosomal RNA is filed under the name uncultured bacterium. RNAcentral's name for it is "partial 16S ribosomal RNA". It matches the Rfam family "Bacterial small subunit ribosomal RNA", at positions 505 to 796 of the family's 1533-position model. The record is from RNAcentral.